UACGUAGGGUGCGAGCGUUGCUCGGAUUUAUUGGGCGUAAAGGGCGCGCAGGCGGCCCGGUGCGUCGGUUGUGAAAGCUCCUGGCUCAACUGGGAGGGGACGACCGAGACGGCCGGGCUGGAGCAAGGUAGGGGAGAGUGGAAUUCCCGGUGUAGUGGUGGAAUGCGUAGAUAUCGGGAGGAACACCAGUGGCGAAGGCGGCUCUCUGGACCUGUGCUGACGCUGAGGCGCGAAAGCGUGGGGAGCGAUCCG
Molecule: ribosomal RNA, 252 nt
Filed under: uncultured bacterium
Lineage: Bacteria
Description: partial 16S ribosomal RNA
Rfam family: Bacterial small subunit ribosomal RNA
Source: RNAcentral